Molecule: ribosomal RNA, 115 nt
Filed under: Pteropus alecto (black flying fox)
Lineage: Eukaryota; Metazoa; Chordata; Mammalia; Chiroptera; Pteropodidae
Source: RNAcentral
UACUACUGUCCACCCUGAACGAGCCUGAUCCCAUCUGAUCUCAGAAGCUAAGCAGGGUGGGGCCUGAUUAGUACUUGGAUGGGAGACCACCUAGGAAGACCAAGUGCUGUAGGCA